This 2141-nucleotide small RNA is filed under the name Pongo abelii (Sumatran orangutan). Its description in RNAcentral is "retained intron". Lineage: Eukaryota; Metazoa; Chordata; Mammalia; Primates; Hominidae. The record is from RNAcentral.
GAGGGCUGUAACCUUAUUCCACAUAUGACAACCUAUGAACUGUCUUUGCCUUUCCUCACUAAAGUAGGGAGGCAAAACCCCAAUGGCGAGGCAGCAGGGGAAGAGCACUCAACUUAGAAGAACCAGGUUAUAGGCCGGGCGUGGUGGCUCACACCUGUAAUCCCAGCACUUUGGGAGUCUGAAGUGGGCAGAUCACUUGAGGUCAGGAGUUCGAAACCAGCCUGGCCAACAUGGUGAAACCCCGUCUCUACUAAAAAUACAAAAAAAUUAGCCGAGUGUGGUGGUGCAGGCCUGUAAUCCCAGCUACUUGGGAGGCUGAGGCACGAAGAAUCGCUUGAACCCAGGAGACAGAGGUUGGGGUAAGCUGAGAUUGCACCACUGCACUCCAGCCUGGGCAACAGAGUGAGACUCCAUCUCUAAAAAACAGAAGAAGAACUGGGUUCUAGUCCUGCCUUCUGCCUUCGUUACCCUGGGACUCCUGGUGAGACACUGCUAUAUAAAGGGAACCAGCCACCUGCCCUCCCAACACUGUAUAUCUGUUGCAAGGCUCAGUCACACAGGUGCUUUGAAAUGCAGACAUUCCACAUGAAUAUAAGUUUUGGGUUUUAAGUUUCUCUUAAAAUUCACUGAUUGGUUAAAAAAUCACAUACCAAUCCAUGAUUGAGUGAUACAGUCCUCACAUAAAUAAAAAGCCUGUUCCUCCCACUGGGAAGCAUUUGAGCAGAAAGUAGAAUCCCUAAGGGAGUGAGUCCUCACUGCAAAGGUGAGGAAGGUGCUGCAGCUUGUAUGUCUGAUCAAGAAUAUUUUGACUUAGUCAUGAUUCUUUUUUUCCCUUAGGUUGAUGAGAACAUGAAGGUAGCACAGAAAAGAGAUGCUGUCUUGCAGGGAAUGUUUUAUUUCAGGAAAGAUAUUUGCAAAGGUAUUACAUUAUCUUAGAUUUCUAAUGUCAGCUUAUGCUGCAACAAGCUGCUAAAGCUCCCCUGACCCUCUUCUCCGGCAGGUGGCAACGCAGUGGUGGAUGGUUGUGGCAAGGCCCAGAACAGCAUGGAGCUCGCUGCAGAGGAGUACACCCUCAUGAGCAUAGACACCAUCAUUAAUGGGAAGGUAGGAGGGUGGCCCUGUACAGUACGCCUCACUGUGCACAUCCCCUAGCAGGGAGUUCAUAACGUGUCUUGCUUCUUGUAGGAAGGUGUGUUUCCUGGACUGAUCCCAAUUCUGAACUCUUACCUUGAAAACAUGGAAGUGGAUGUGGACACCAGAUGUAGUAUUCUAAAUUACCUAAAGCUAAUUAAGAAGAGAGCAUCUGGAGAACUAAUGACAGUUGCCAGAUGGAUGAGGGAGUUUAUCGCAAACCAUCCUGACUACAAGCAAGACAGUGUCAUAACUGAUAAAAUGAAUUAUAGCCUUAUUUUGAAGUGUAACCAAAUUGCAAAUGAAUUAUGUGAAUGCCCAGAGUUACUUGGAUCAGCAUUUAGGAAAGUAAAAUAUAGUGGAAAUAAAACUGACUCAUCCAACUAGAUGUUCUACAGGAAAGAAAAAUGCGUUACUAUUUUAUUGACGAACUGGCUACAGUACCAUGCCUCUCAGCCCAUGUGUAUGAUAUGAAGACUAAUGUUAGAACUGUACUGUUUUCUGGGCCAGUGAGCCGGAAAUUGAUUAAGGCUUUCUUUGGUAGGUAAAUCUAGAGUUUAUACAGUGUACAUGUACAUAGUAAAGUAUUUUUGAUUAACAAUGUAUUUUAAUAACAUAUCUAAAGUCAUCGUGAACUGGCUUGUACAUUUUUAAAUUCUUACUCUGGAGCAACCUACUGUCUAAGCAGUUUUGUAAAUGUAAUGUACUGGUAAUUGUACAAUACUUGCAUUCCAGAGUUAAAAUGUUUACGGUAAAUUUUUGUUCUUUUAAAGACUACCUGGGACCUGAUUUGUUGAAAUUUUUCUCUUUAAAAACACUUUCUCUCAUUAAUUUUCCUUUGUCAUUUCCUUUGUUGUGUACAUUAAAUCACUUGAAUCCAUUGAAAGUGUUUCAAGGGUAAUCUUGGGUUUCUAGCACCUUAUCUAUGAUGUUUCUUUUGCAAUUGGAAUAAUCACUUGGUCACCUUGCCCCAAGCUUUCCCCUCUGAAUAAAUACCCAUUGAACUCUGA